Molecule: ribosomal RNA, 254 nt
Filed under: uncultured bacterium
Lineage: Bacteria
Description: partial 16S ribosomal RNA
Rfam family: Bacterial small subunit ribosomal RNA
Source: RNAcentral
UACGUAGGGGGCGAGCGUUGUCCGGAGUUACUGGGCGUAAAGCGCACGCAGGCGGUCGUUAAGUUUGGAGUGACAGUUGGUGGCUUAACUGCCAAAGUGCUUUGAAACUAAGAUCGACUGAGGUCGUUCAGAGGGACACGGAAUUCCGGGUGGAGUGGUGAAAUGCGUAGAGAUCCGGAGGAACACCAGGAGGCGAAGGCAGUGUCCUGGGGAGUACCUGACGCUCAGGUGCGAAAGCCGGGGGAGCGAACGGG